Bubalus bubalis (water buffalo) is the source of this 1841-nucleotide long non-coding RNA. RefSeq lists it as uncharacterized. The record is from RefSeq and is a predicted model, not a curated record. The transcript is spliced from 3 exons. NCBI's taxonomy places the organism in Eukaryota, Metazoa, Chordata, Mammalia, Artiodactyla, Bovidae.
AAAGCACGUGGGCAGAGCUGUGAGCUGUGUGGGUGCCACUGGUGGAGAUGCGGGUGCCUAGGAUGUAGCGCCAGCGUUCCUUGCGGAUUGGAAACUCUGAAGAGCAUUUCCCUUAAGUUCCUUGGAUAAUUAACUUUAGUUUCCGGAUAGAGUAGCGUUAGAGAACAUAUCUUGAUCUACCCUCAGGACCGUAGAAAUUCUAUGAAUUGCUAAGGAAUUCUAUGAGUUCUUAGGUAAACCCUUUGUAUGACAUGCGUGUAAAUUCUUAUACUUUAAUAGGAGCAGUGUGUGUACAUCAUACGCUGCUAUGUUACAACCGCGUGGCAAAAAUAUAUCCGUACCCAGGCCAAAGUUGUUCCUUUUGCAUUAGUUGGAUACUGUUUCAUAUGACGUUGAAACAUAUUAAAUUCAAGUACCCAAAGAUUUAUAUAGUUUAACUCCUGCUAAAGCAAGAAAUAUAUGUAUGGAAACACACAAGCUGAUCUAAGUCAAGAAGAAAUUACAACUUUGCUUUUCACAUGGAAUUUUCUGUUAACAGCUUUUUUUUUUUUGACAAACAGCAAUUAAGUUUAACUUUAAAAAGUCUAUGCUACAGGAGUCCCAAGACAAUUCAAUGGGGAAAGAAUAUUCUUUUCAACAAACGGUAGUAGAACAACUCAAUCUCACCAUACAAAACAAAGAAACUGGAUCCCUACCUCACAUCACACAUAAAUAUUAAUUCAAAAUGUAGCAAAGACCUAAAUGUAAGAGCUACAGUUAUGAAAUUCUUAGAAGAAAACACAGGUGUAAAUCUUCAUUAUCUUGGAUGGGAAACUGUUUCUCAAAUGACACCAAAAGCAUGAGAAGUGAAAUUUUAAAAAAAGAUAAAUUGGACAUCAUCAAACAAAAAACUAGUGCUUCAAGAUACCAUCAAGAAAGUGAAAAGACAACUCACAGAAGAUGUCUGCAAAAUAUUACUGAUAAAGGACUUGUAUCUAGACUACAUAAAGAACUCUUACAACUCAAUGAUCAAAAGACAGACAACCCAAUUAAAAAUCGUCAAAUGAUAUGAACAGACUUUUCUCCAGAGAUGAUAUACAAACAGCAAUAAGCACGUGAAAAGAUGCUCAAUAUUACUCAUCAUUAAACGAAAUGCAAAUCAAAACCAUAUGACCACUUUUCACCCACAAAAAAAUAAUACAGACAAUAUAAGUACUGCAAAGAAUGUGAAGAAACUGGAACUCUCAUACACUGCUGGAGAGAAUAUAAAAUGGCACAGUUGCUCUGGAAAAGUCUGGAAGUUCCCCUAAAAGAUAACAGAUGACCCAGCAAUUCCAUUCCUAAGUCUACACUCCAGAGAAAUGAAAACACAGUCACACAAAAAUGUAUACACAAAUGUACAGAAAUAUUCUUAAUAGUCAAUAAAUAGAAACCCAAGUAUACUUAACUGAAAUGUCCUCAACUGAAGGAUGAAGAAAUGUACAUCCACAUACUAGACAAAUAUAUACUAAAACAUCAUUCAGCCAUAAAAAAGAAUAGUGCUUUGAUAAAUGCUACAACAUGAAAGAACUUUGAAAACAUUAUGCUACAUGAAAUGAGGCAGACACAAAAAGACAGAUCUUGUAUAACUACUUAUAUGAAAUAGAAGAAACCCAGAACAGGCAAAUUUACAGGGAAAAACAGUAGACUAUAGAUAUCCAUGGAUUGGGAGAAAAGGGAAAAGGACAGCUAUUGCUUAAUGAGUACAAAGUUUCUGUUCGGGAUGAUGAAAAAAUUUCAAAAUAGUGGUGGUGAUUGUACAACACUGUGAAUGUGAUUACUGCUACUGAAUUAUAUACAUUAAAAAUGGUUAAAAUAGCAAA